This 497-nucleotide ribosomal RNA is filed under the name uncultured bacterium. RNAcentral describes it as "partial 16S ribosomal RNA". It matches the Rfam family "Bacterial small subunit ribosomal RNA", at positions 28 to 507 of the family's 1533-position model. The record is from RNAcentral.
GACGAACGCUGGCGGCGUGCCUAAUACAUGCAAGUUGAGCGAUGAAGAUUGGUGCUUGCACCAAUUUGAAGAGCAGCGAACGGGUGAGUAACGCGUGGGGAAUCUGCCUUUGAGCGGGGGACAACAUUUGGAAACGAAUGCUAAUACCGCAUAACAACUUUAAACAUAAGUUUUAAGUUUGAAAGAUGCAAUUGCAUCACUCAAGGAUGAUCCCGCGUUGUAUUAGCUAGUUGGUGAGGUAAAGGCUCACCAAUGCGAUGAUACAUAGCAAACCUGAGAGGGUGAUCGGCCACCUUGGGACUGGGACACGGCCCAAACUCCUACGGGAGGCAGCAGUAGGGAAUCUUCGGCAAUGGACGAAAGUCUGACCGAGCAACGCCGCGUGAGUGAAGAAGGGUUUCGGAUCGUAAAACUCUGUUGGUAGAGAAGAACGUUGGUGAGAGUGGAAAGCUCAUCAAGUGACGGUAACUACCCAGAAAGGGACGGCUAACUACGUG